GGGUUGUGAGGUUAAGCGACUAAGCGUACACGGUGGAUGCCCUGGCAGUCAGAGGCGAUGAAGGGCGUGCUAAUCUGCGAUAAGCGCCGGUAAGGUGAUAUGAACCGUUAUAACCGACGAUACCCGAAUGGGGAAACCCAGUGUGACUCGUCACACUAUCAUUAACUGAAUCCAUAGGUUAAUGAGGCGAACCGGGGGAACUGAAACAUCUAAGUACCCCGAGGAAAAGAAAUCAACCGAGAUUCCCCCAGUAGCGGCGAGCGAACGGGGAGGAGCCCAGAGCCUGAAUCAGCAUGUGUGUUAGUGGAAGCGUCUGGAAAGGCGCGCGAUACAGGGUGACAGCCCCGUACACAAAAGCGCAUGUGCUGUGAGCUCGAUGAGUAGGGCGGGACACGUGGUAUCCUGUCUGAAUAUGGGGGGACCAUCCUCCAAGGCUAAAUACUCCUGACUGACCGAUAGUGAACCAGUACCGUGAGGGAAAGGCGAAAAGAACCCCGGCGAGGGGAGUGAAAAAGAACCUGAAACCGUGUACGUACAAGCAGUGGGAGCACAGGUUUACCUGUGUGACUGCGUACCUUUUGUAUAAUGGGUCAGCGACUUAUAUUCUGUAGCAAGGUUAACCGAAUAGGGGAGC
This 634-nucleotide ribosomal RNA is filed under the name Salmonella enterica. Its description in RNAcentral is "partial 23S ribosomal RNA". It matches the Rfam family "Bacterial large subunit ribosomal RNA", at positions 1 to 666 of the family's 2925-position model. Lineage: Bacteria; Pseudomonadati; Pseudomonadota; Gammaproteobacteria; Enterobacterales; Enterobacteriaceae. The record is from RNAcentral.